Molecule: long non-coding RNA, 452 nt
Organism: Brassica napus (rape)
Lineage: Eukaryota; Viridiplantae; Streptophyta; Magnoliopsida; Brassicales; Brassicaceae
Exons: 2
Source: RefSeq, a predicted model, not a curated record
AAUAGUUUGAGAUGAACAGAGAAACAUAGAGAUCCGUCAUCUUUUUUUUGUCUUCUUCUUUUCUUGAUAAUGAAGAAGAUCGAUUUGAUGAUGAAGACCAGAGAGAGAGAUUGGAACGAGGAGGAAGAAGAUGAAACGUUGUUAUUUAUAAGUAAAAUCUCACGCGCUUUAUUACAACUUUUUGGUCAACUGGCUUCCUGUCUUUGACUAUUUGAGUUCACGUGGCAACUCUUCCAACAAUACUCAGAUUAGAACGAGGUUCUUAACAACAUUCUCACUUUCAACAUCUUCUAGAUCAUUUUUGUUACAUAGAACAAAAAUCAAACUUUGAUGUCAAUGAGUCCAACUCCCCACGUACGCGGAAAAGAAGAAGGUGAGUGGAGAAGCAAGCAAGUGGGUUACACAACCUGUACACGUGAUGCGGACACGGUAUUGACGGAGAUGAUUUGGUA